CUCAGAUAGAGACAUAAAGCAUCUUAUUUCAUCAGAAAAUGAAAGAGUGCCCGCGUGAUCACUGCAAAUGAGACUAAUAGGUCUCAUAUCAAACAAAUGGGAGCGCAGAGGACUGGAGAGAUUUGCACUAGGCAAGAGGUGCAAUCACAAAAUGAACACAAAUGACACCCUGGGAAGAUGCUGAGUAAAUGACAACCAUCAAACACAAUCCUGACAUGUGAGGCAACGGCGGUGCAAUUUAACACACAGGAACCAUGAUGAUUCUUGUCACGUGGGGGUUAAAAUGACUGCUCUGAUUACUUAUAAACCGGUAUUUGCAUACCCAAGAGUAAGCUGAUGUCAAUUUGGAAGCGGUGAGGAAGAGAAAAUCCAUCAGAGGACGAAGAGGAUGAGGAAGUGGACCAUAUUCUCCCUGGAGUGUGGCACGCAAAUGAUUUUUUGGGAAACGUGAUAAACAGCGGCAUCAUUUGGUGUUUACCGUCCUGAUGAGCCCUGCUGGUAGUGAGAUGGAGCUGGCUGCAGCGAGCUCUGCUGCAGAGCUGGGAUCUGCCAAGUUUUGUUAGGAUAACGGGAGCAACAUUGGCCUGGGGCGGGCAGAAGGACCUGCUGUUUCUAACUGCAUCCCUGCACUGUCUGCAGAAUCAAAGUACAGUAACUCCUCUGUCGGACUCCAUUGCCACGACAAUGACACACAACCAAGAAACUCAAAAUUCAUUGUGUUUCCUUGAGGUCUAACAAACGUGUUUGAAUGCAUUUCCUUCCUCAUAAAACAUUUGCAACGCCCUUAUCAAA
Perca fluviatilis (European perch) is the source of this 792-nucleotide long non-coding RNA. RefSeq lists it as uncharacterized. The record is from RefSeq and is a predicted model, not a curated record. NCBI's taxonomy places the organism in Eukaryota, Metazoa, Chordata, Actinopteri, Perciformes, Percidae. The transcript has 2 exons.